Molecule: ribosomal RNA, 469 nt
Filed under: uncultured bacterium
Lineage: Bacteria
Description: bacterial SSU rRNA
Rfam family: Bacterial small subunit ribosomal RNA
Source: RNAcentral
AAUCAACGCUGGCGGCGUGCCUAACACAUGCAAGUCGCACGAGAAAGGGACUUCGGUCCUGAGUACAGUGGCGCACGGGUGAGUAACACGUGAAUCAUCUACCUUCGAGUGGGGAAUAACUGAGAGAAAUCUUAGCUAAUACCGCAUAAUACCUACGGGUCAAAGCAGCAAUGCGCUUGAAGAGGAGUUCGCGGCAGAUUAGUUAGUUGGCAGGGUAAUGGCCUACCAAGACGAUGAUCUGUACCCGGCCUGAGAGGGCGCACGGACACACUGGGACUGAACACGGUCCAGACUCCUACGGGAGGCAGCAGUGGGGAAUUUUGCGCAAUGGGGGAAACCCGUAGACGCAGCAACGCCGCGUGGAGGAUGAAGUCCCUUGGGACGUAAACUCCUUUCGACCGGGAAGAUUAUGACGGUACCGGUGGAAGAAGCCCCGGCCUAACUUCGUGCGAGCAGCAGCCGCAGUAAC